GGCCUUUUGUUUAUGAUUUAAGGUCUAGCCUGCCCAAUGAGAUUUUGAAUGGCCGCGGUAUUUUAACCGUGCAAAGGUAGCAUAAUCAUUAGUUUUUUAAUUAAAAGCUGGUAUGAAUGGUUGAAUGAAAAAAUAACUGUCUCUAUUUAAAUUUUUUAGAAUUUUAUUUUUAAGUAAAAAAGCUUAAAUUAUAUUAGAAGACGAGAAGACCCUGUAGAGUUUAAUUAAUUAUUAUAAUAGGAUUUUUAGUAUUCUUAUUUUUAUUAUUUAUAAUUAAUUUAGUUGGGGUGAUUUAAAAAUUUAAUAAACUUUUUUUAUAUUUAUACAUUAAUUUAUGAUUAUUUGAUCCUUAUUUUAAGAUUAAAAGAUAAAAUUACCUUAGGGAUAACAGCGUAAUUUUUUUAGAGAGUUCUAAUCGAAAAAAAAGAUUGCGACCUCGAUGUUGGAUUAAAAUAAAAAUUUGGUGUAGAAGCUAAAGUAUUUAGGUCUGUUCGACCUUUAAAAUUUUACAUGAUCUGAGUUUAAACCGGUGUAAGCCAGGUUGGUUUCUAUCUCUAUUUUAAAUAAAUAUUUUAGUACGAAAGGACCAAAUAUUAGGUUUAAAAUUUUCUAUUUGAAUAUAAUU
RNAcentral lists this ribosomal RNA (625 nucleotides) under Falklandius sp. FAM1. Its description in RNAcentral is "partial 16S ribosomal RNA". It matches the Rfam family "Bacterial large subunit ribosomal RNA", at positions 1819 to 2739 of the family's 2925-position model. Lineage: Eukaryota; Metazoa; Arthropoda; Insecta; Coleoptera; Curculionidae. The record is from RNAcentral.